Molecule: long non-coding RNA, 568 nt
Filed under: Physcomitrium patens
Lineage: Eukaryota; Viridiplantae; Streptophyta; Bryopsida; Funariales; Funariaceae
Description: long non-coding RNA (PPAT_LNC008488)
Source: RNAcentral
UUUGUCUUGAAAUUGGUGUAUAGCUUGAUCUUUAAGUCUUCCAACACUAUGCCAAUUUUCACCUUAAUCCAACUAAUAGAUCUUUAGAUAUCAUAGAAACCCUAUCCAACCUCAAAGUGCCACCUUUUGAAAUCAUCUUGUGCUAAAAACUAGAUAUCUCUAAACCACGCCAUUACAUUAUGAUAAAAUUUUGUAUACACUUAAUACAUCCAAUAAUCCAAAUAAUAUCAAAUUUUCAACUGUAGAUGUUAUGCCAAUUGCACAAACUAGCCAAAGUUACUAGCCCUAAUUAUAUUAUAUAAAAUCCAAAUAAUUGAUACAAACCCUGACUUUGAGCAACAAUUGCUAACUCCCACAAAACCCUCUCAAAAUAAUUCUCAUAUUUCUAGAAUGAACUUCAAGCUAGCUCUCAAAUCCUAACCUCCGAUCUUUGAAUGAAACCCUAUUUUGCCUUAGGCCAUCAUUUUAGUGGCCAAAGGUUUGAUUUCGACCUUGUCUCACAAACGGUCGACCCCUAGGUAUCAAUCUAUCCUAUCCUAAGGAUUUUUUAGCCCAAUCCUACUCUCAA